AACAAUGAGAACCAAAAGACGGUUAAGGGUUGAUUGUAUGACAUAUGGCUGUCUAGGUAUACACUAAAGUUCGAGUUUCAAAGAUAUCAAAUCUAUCGAUUGACCGAGUGUAUCCGACAUAUGUUCACUACGGAAAGUUCAAAGGGAAACCUAUUUGUCCAGAUGCAAUUGUGAGCGUUACUGUGUUAAAACAAAAUCAGAAAAACUUAGAAGAAUAAAGAAAUGUAUAAAAUAGUAGAGAAUAAGAAAUAUUCUGAGUCCACAAUUUUCUUGUACGUCCUUAAGGAAUUUUAACCCCCUCACACGUUGCCAAGGUAAUGGAAAAUAAACCUUCCUGCAACAGUGGCAAUACAAACUGCAGGAUACCAACGAACUCAAAGAACGAAGCAAAAUCACACUUAUGAAUUUGAG
RNAcentral lists this long non-coding RNA (411 nucleotides) under Nicotiana benthamiana. RNAcentral's name for it is "long non-coding RNA (NBEN_LNC035023)". The record is from RNAcentral. Lineage: Eukaryota; Viridiplantae; Streptophyta; Magnoliopsida; Solanales; Solanaceae.